ACGGCAAAUCGGCACGGUCAGCUCCCGCCGAACUCCCCCAGGUGCGGAAGCGAGCAAGGGUAGGCGGUUGUAGCGACGCGAUGUUGGUUUGCCACUUU
RNAcentral lists this signal recognition particle RNA (98 nucleotides) under Pontibacter sp. SGAir0037. Its description in RNAcentral is "signal recognition particle sRNA small type". It matches the Rfam family "Bacteroidales small SRP". From Rfam's summary of the family: The non-coding component of the signal recognition particle in Bacteroides Lineage: Bacteria; Pseudomonadati; Bacteroidota; Cytophagia; Cytophagales; Hymenobacteraceae. The record is from RNAcentral.